This 115-nucleotide ribosomal RNA is filed under the name Vibrio nigripulchritudo. RNAcentral also lists the same sequence under 4 other names. The record is from RNAcentral. Lineage: Bacteria; Pseudomonadati; Pseudomonadota; Gammaproteobacteria; Vibrionales; Vibrionaceae.
UGGCGACCAUAGCGUUGUGGACCCACCUGAUUCCAUGCCGAACUCAGAAGUGAAACGCAAUAGCGCCGAUGGUAGUGUGGGGCUUCCCCAUGUGAGAGUAGGACAUCGCCAGGCU